RNAcentral lists this transfer RNA (72 nucleotides) under Bacteriophage sp. RNAcentral's name for it is "tRNA-Asn". It matches the Rfam family "tRNA". Rfam says of the family: Transfer RNA (tRNA) molecules are approximately 80 nucleotides in length. Their secondary structure includes four short double-helical elements and three loops (D, anti-codon, and T loops). Further hydrogen bonds mediate the characteristic L-shaped molecular structure. tRNAs have two regions of fundamental functional importance: the anti-codon, which is responsible for specific mRNA codon recognition, and the 3' end, to which the tRNAs corresponding amino acid is attached (by aminoacyl-tRNA synthetases). tRNAs cope with the degeneracy of the genetic code in two manners: having more than one tRNA (with a specific anti-codon) for a particular amino acid; and 'wobble' base-pairing, i.e. permitting non-standard base-pairing at the 3rd anti-codon position. The record is from RNAcentral.
UGGCAUAUAGUUCAGUGGUAGAACGACAGACUGUUAAUCUGUAGGUCGUAGGUUCGAUACCUACUAUGCCAG